GUGCCAGCAGCCGCGGUAAUACGGAGGGGGCAAGCGUUGUUCGGAAUUAUUGGGCGUAAAGGGCGCGUAGGCGGCCGGCCAAGUCGGGUGUGAAAUCCCUCGGCUCAACCGAGGAAUUGCAUCCGAUACUGGCUGGCUGGAGUCCGGGAGGGGAUGGUGGAAUUCCCAGUGUAGCGGUGAAAUGCGUAGAUAUUGGGAAGAACACCGGUGGCGAAGGCGACCAUCUGGACCGGAACUGACGCUGAGGCGCGAAAGCCAGGGGAGCGAAUGGGAUUAGAUACCCGGGUAAUCC
Molecule: ribosomal RNA, 292 nt
Filed under: uncultured bacterium
Lineage: Bacteria
Description: partial 16S ribosomal RNA
Rfam family: Bacterial small subunit ribosomal RNA
Source: RNAcentral